Molecule: unclassified non-coding RNA, 240 nt
Filed under: soil metagenome
Description: partial contains 5.8S ribosomal RNA, internal transcribed spacer 2, and large subunit ribosomal RNA
Source: RNAcentral
AACGGUCUAUACCUGCGGUACCUGCGGAGGGAUCAUUACCGAGUUAUCAACUCCCAAACCCCUGUGAACAUACCCGAACGUUGCCUCGGCGGGACCGCCCCGGCGCCCCUAGCGGCCCGGAACCAGGCGCCCGCCGGAGGACCCAAACCCUUGCUUUAAACAGUGGCAUACUCUCUGAGUCUCACAAACAAAAAAUAAAUCAAAACUUUCAACAAUGGAUCUCUAGAUCGGAAGAGCACA